This 372-nucleotide RNase P RNA is filed under the name Nioella halotolerans. RNAcentral's name for it is "Rhodobacteraceae bacterium W635 Bacterial RNase P class A". It matches the Rfam family "Bacterial RNase P class A". From Rfam's summary of the family: Ribonuclease P (RNase P) is a ubiquitous endoribonuclease, found in archaea, bacteria and eukarya as well as chloroplasts and mitochondria. The record is from Rfam by way of RNAcentral. Lineage: Bacteria; Pseudomonadati; Pseudomonadota; Alphaproteobacteria; Rhodobacterales; Paracoccaceae.
GCGGAGGGCCGGAUGGCCGCGGGGGGCAUCCCCCGAGGAAAGUCCGGACUCCCUGAAGCAACGGUGCCGGGUAACGCCCGGGCGGAGCAAUCCGACGGACAGCGCCACAGAAAAGAAACCGCCCCGUGCGCGGGGUAAGGGUGAAACGGUGGGGUAAGAGCCCACCGCGGGACUGGCAACAGGACCGGCACGGCAAGCCCCACCGGGAGCAAUGCCAAAUAGGGACCUCGCGUGCGCGUCACAGGGCCGCUUCAGCCCGAGGGGUCCGGGUUGGCAGCAAGAGCCCGCGGGCAAUCGCGGGCCGAGACGAAUGGUCAUCGAACCGGGGGCGACCCCGGGGAACAGGAUCCGGCUUACAGGCCCUCCGCGCAU